Molecule: ribosomal RNA, 423 nt
Filed under: Diniatys monodonta
Lineage: Eukaryota; Metazoa; Mollusca; Gastropoda; Cephalaspidea; Haminoeidae
Description: partial 16S ribosomal RNA
Rfam family: Bacterial large subunit ribosomal RNA
Source: RNAcentral
AAAACAUAGCCCUAAGAACUUAUUUAGGGUUAUGCCUGCCCAGUGUACAUCAUAAACGGCCGCGGUACCCUGACCGUGCUAAGGUAGCAUAAUCAUUUGGCUUUUAAUUGGAGUCUGGUAUGAAAGGUUUUACGGAUUAUUACUGUCUAUAUUCUAUUUAUUUAAACUUACUAAAAAGGUGAAAAGGCCUUUAAAAGAUAAAAGACGAGAAGACCCUUAGAGUUUAGAUAUAUUUUGUUGGGGCGACAAAGGACCACAAAACGUCCUUAUAUCCAUAUGUCGACUUUUGUUUAUUUAGAUAAACUACCUUAGGGAUAACAGCAUAAUUUAUUUUAAGAUUGUGACCUCGAUGUUGGACUGGGAAGCUAUAUGGCUAGCUGCCAUAUUGCGGAUUCUGUUCGAAUUUUUACUCCCACGUGAUCU